RNAcentral lists this ribosomal RNA (253 nucleotides) under uncultured bacterium. Its description in RNAcentral is "partial 16S ribosomal RNA". It matches the Rfam family "Bacterial small subunit ribosomal RNA", at positions 524 to 776 of the family's 1533-position model. The record is from RNAcentral.
UACGGAGGGUGCAAGCGUUAUCCGGAUUUACUGGGUUUAAAGGGUGCGUAGGUGGGUCUGUAAGUCAGUGGUGAAAUCUCCGAGCUUAACUCGGAAACUGCCAUUGAUACUAUAGAUCUUGAAUAUUCUGGAGGUGAGCGGAAUAUGUCAUGUAGCGGUGAAAUGCUUAGAUAUGACAUAGAACACCAAUUGCGAAGGCAGCUCACUACGGGAUUAUUGACACUGAGGCACGAAAGCGUGGGGAUCAAACAGG